GCCUUCGUGGUGUAGUGGUCAGCACGCUGGGCGCGUAUUCCGGAGGUCUAUGGUUCGAAUCCCGGAGAGGGCA
Molecule: non-coding RNA, 73 nt
Organism: Stegodyphus mimosarum
Lineage: Eukaryota; Metazoa; Arthropoda; Arachnida; Araneae; Eresidae
Source: Rfam